UUAGGUCCGACCGGUCCCGAACCCGAUACGGGCGAAAGGUCGAUCGCUGUGCUUGCCUUCUUAUACUCGGAGACGGUUCGGCCUAGAACUAAUCCGUAGAGAUGAAGAAUAAUGCCGUGAAGAAGUUCGGAGGCGGAAGGCAGCCGACGGGCACACCGUCCCUCGCCUGGUCAUGCGUCGUCGUGGUCGUCUCCCUACUCGCUGGCGCUUCCGUGGUCCACAAUAUCUAUAAGCCCGACCUGACGCUGCCGCCGGUGGAGAACAAGGGCGGAGAAACCAACAAGGACCGCUGAGAAUGAUUCUUCGAACCAAGCGGGAGGAUGAAGAACUACUCAUGGAAAAUUUGCUCACUCUGCACUCGAACUUGCCAUCGCGGGGGCGCUUCUUUUCCCAAUUCUCGAGCAGAAUCUCCUUCACACAGGCCACAUGAAGGUGACAUUCCUUGCAUGUUGACACAUAGGACCAGCUUUUGGCACCCUUCCUCAACUCCUUCUUCCCACACCGGUAGCACUUGGAAGUCACCUCUCGGCGGAGAACCAGCUUCAUCUCACCAUCC
This is an RNA transcript of Elaeis guineensis (African oil palm), 556 nucleotides long. RefSeq lists it as uncharacterized. The record is from RefSeq and is a predicted model, not a curated record. Lineage: Eukaryota; Viridiplantae; Streptophyta; Magnoliopsida; Arecales; Arecaceae.